CUGACGCCCCCAGGCCGGGAUACCUGCAGGCUCAAGAAGGAAGGGGAGGAAAUCUCCUCGUUUGCCCGCCUAAGCCCGAAGAAAUGGUCCAGCUGAGCGCCUCCCAGAUGCUGUGAAGGACCCUCCCCUCCCCUCUUCUCCCGGAAUUCAGUCGCAGGUUCAGGGGGAUUUUGCUGCCCCAAUGCCCAGCUUGUCUUGCCUUCCAGGCUGGGAAUGUUGCGAUUAGCCCCUCCUCACAACACAGCCAUUGGGGCGGCUGCUGUCCGCAAAAAUGAAAAAGAAUACAGAAGAAGGAUUGCUGUACAGACUGAGGAUCAACUGACGUAGAAGGAGAAAAAGAAGCAUUCGUACUUAGAAAUUCACGCUGACCUACUACAUGCCAUCCAGAGAUCUAUCAGUUGGGGCAGAUCUACCCUGAUCUAAAGCAGUCAACAAAACCCUAUAGGGACAUUCCUCAAUUCAAUUCCAAAUAUUCAUUCCUUAUUCAAUUCCAAAUAACAGGGUCCUGGUGUACAUCACUACAGGAAUGCCAAGAUCAAGUACAUGAGUUUGUCUUGUAGCAGAUACUGAAGAGCAAAUGUUUAAAUUUGAAACAUAUCAAGCUCAAAUAUUAAGACUGGAUAUUGCCUUUUCUUUAUAUGCCAAAGAAAAUACUAAAGAAUCAAACAACUGCAUAAACAACAUCCACAUACCAUUCAAAAAAGAUGAUCAAAAACCCCCAAAAGAAACAAAAAGACCAAAACACCUUCUUACCAACAAUUAACAGCCAGAUGCAGAGAUUAACACCACGAUUAACAGAAGAUCAACAAUAUAAAAUGACAGCAAACCCCAUUCCCUUCUAACACUGAUGAUGGUACCUAAUUAGGUAAUGAAAUGUCUAAAGAAAACAAGCAGGCUCAGAGAGCACCAAGGACCUCACAGUUCACCCUGAACUAUACAUAUGCUCUUCUAUCAAAAGCUAUUGCGUAUCUAUCUGAUCUAGUCAUUGAGCUAGUCUGUGACCAUAGUCUCUUCUGUGGUUAAAUCUUGGUUGAGUUUCCAGAGUGAUACUUACUUUAUACAGUUCAGUUGGUGAAUCUCUAACUGACAACAUGAUACAACAGAGAAGCCUUUGGAUUAAACUUCUUAUGUACAGCUUUAGUGCACAUAUUGUUUUGCCUCAAAUAUUUAUUUGCCUUUACUAAUAAAUAAAUAGCCUAA
Molecule: long non-coding RNA, 1200 nt
Organism: Crotalus tigris (Tiger rattlesnake)
Lineage: Eukaryota; Metazoa; Chordata; Lepidosauria; Squamata; Viperidae
Exons: 3
Source: RefSeq, a predicted model, not a curated record